This 782-nucleotide long non-coding RNA is filed under the name Heterocephalus glaber (naked mole-rat). RNAcentral describes it as "lncRNA (ENSHGLG00000041902.1)". Lineage: Eukaryota; Metazoa; Chordata; Mammalia; Rodentia; Bathyergidae. The record is from RNAcentral.
GAACGUGCAUUGGGAUUCUUUCCUCUGCCUGCAAUCCCCUUUCCCCUGCUUCUCUCUGCUGAGCCCAACUGCGACCUUCGAAUCCCAGGUUCGUGUGACUCUGUGUGCGUGUUCAUGUGUGUGCACGUAUGUGUAUGCCUCCAAAGCCUUUCAUUUGCUUAUGUACCCCUGUUACGGUUUAGACCCCCAAAACUCUCAUGCUCAGGGGCAGGGCUUUUGGGAGGGGACUGGAUCCAGCCUCAGAGCUGACGUGCCGUCAGGAGGUGGGGCCUAGUUAGAGGGGUGUUGCUGGGGGCGUGGCCUGGAAGGGUUUCUCUCCUUUCCUGGCUCCUCCCUUCUCUCUGCUUCCGGCCGCCAUGAUGUGAGCAGCUUUCCUCCACUCAGACCCUUCAACCACGGUAUUUCUGCCUUGGAGCUGGCCAGCGGUGCAAGGACCGAGACUUCUAAAACUGUGAGCCAAAAUCAACCUCUCCUCUAAAUUGUGGGUGUUGGGUAUUGUGUCGUAAUGAUGAGGAAAGCGACUAAGACACCCCCGCAAGCAAAAUAGAUCUUCCUCUCCUCUAGUAUGCUUCAGUGGCUCUUGGCUAGCUCCUUCUAGAAUAACACCCCUUGUGUUUGUUCUCACCCUGACUUUCCAGCUAGAGUGAGCAGGAACCUUGUCGUAUUCGUUGCUGUAAUUGUAGUACCUCAUACACUACCUUACACGCUGCUCCAGAAAUGCUUACUAAGAUACAGCGUAUUUUAUUAUAACUUACACGUGUUUUUCACUUACUAUUCGGCAC